Molecule: long non-coding RNA, 369 nt
Filed under: Coffea arabica (coffee)
Lineage: Eukaryota; Viridiplantae; Streptophyta; Magnoliopsida; Gentianales; Rubiaceae
Description: long non-coding RNA (CARA_LNC007312)
Source: RNAcentral
AAAAGCAGCCGUGGUUCUGCCAAACAGUACGAGACAUCUGAAAGAAAGCUUACUCCUUCAAUACAAAAUAAGGCAGCCUGCAAAGUGCAAUGUUCUUGAUAGUUUGAUUCCAUGAGCGUGAUUGUAAUGGAAUCACAUGUCUGAGUAUAACAAAUUCAACUAGAGCAGCUACUAAUCAUGUCCUGGCCACCCAUUAUAUCAAUUCAGAUAGUGCAGUACAAAUUCCUAUAUUGCUUCAGCAAUACCAAUCUGAUUCAUGAAAACCAGUGCAUUCAAUUUUAACCUUAAACUGCUGGAAGGAAGGUCUCGUUUUGGAGUACAUUCACAAGCAUCUUUUUUUUUCCUCAUCUUUCUUAUUUGUAGUUAUUA